UUCAGUGUUGUAUUAAAUUGCUCCUCCAGCUCCUCCUCUCCUCAUCCUCCAAACCCUCUCAUCUGUCAGCAGUGAGCUCACUUUCCAAGUUACAAGGCCAUUCUCAGCACACACUGACAACAUGCUGGGGACCCUCUGCACUCUCAUCACUGCUCUAACAUGUGUGAGUGGUGUGACGGUGGUGACACAGAAGCCUCCUGUUGUGACGUUCACAUCUACUCAUCAGUCAACAUCAGAUUAUCGUUUGAUCAUCAACAAUGUGGAGGAGGGAGACUCAGCAGUCUAUUACUGUCAAACAUGGGACACCUCUGUUAAUGAGUACGUAUUCGGACAAGGCACCAAGCUGAUUGUGACAAGCUCCAGCCUCUCUCCUCCUGUCCUGACAGUCUUCCCUCCGUCCAGUGCUGAGCUGCAGACCAGCGAAGCCACUCUGGUCUGUCUGUCCAGUCAGUCUGUGCCUUUUGCAGAUGUGAGCUGGUUGGUUGCUGGGAAUCCAGUGAGCAGUGGGAUCUCUACCAGCACCCCUGUUCAGAAACCAGACCAGACUUUCCAAAUCAGCAGCUAUCUGUCCAUCCAGACGUCAGACUGGAACAUGGAUAAGAUUUACACAUGCAAAGUGUCUCUGGGCUCCCAGACUUCAGAGAAAAACAUCAACAAGUCAGACUGUUCCACUGAAGAAUAGAAGAGGAGCAGAAUGACUGUUUAACAUCUGCUUCUUUACUGUUUGUGCUGAUUGCUCAUUACAAGGUUUCCAUGUUAGAAAAGAUGUGUCUGCAUGCUUGUAAUAAAUGUUGUGACAGUUAGGUGGAGGUGUUGUAUCAGCUUUGCAAUUGCUGCAUUUUGAAAGAAUCAUUCAAUAAAAUAAAAACAACUUCAU
Molecule: non-coding RNA, 877 nt
Organism: Toxotes jaculatrix (banded archerfish)
Lineage: Eukaryota; Metazoa; Chordata; Actinopteri; Toxotidae
Source: the annotation of a RefSeq genome assembly